RNAcentral lists this ribosomal RNA (331 nucleotides) under uncultured bacterium. RNAcentral's name for it is "bacterial SSU rRNA". It matches the Rfam family "Bacterial small subunit ribosomal RNA", at positions 568 to 898 of the family's 1533-position model. The record is from RNAcentral.
CGCGUAGGCGGCGCUUCAAGUCGGGUGUGAAAGCCCACGGCUCAACCGUGGAAUAGCACUCGAGACUGAAGGGCUUGAGGACGGGAGAGGAUGGUGGAAUUCCCAGUGUAGAGGUGAAAUUCGUAGAUAUUGGGAAGAACACCGGUGGCGAAGGCGGCCAUCUGGACCGUUUCUGACGCUGAGGCGCGAAAGCGUGGGGAGCAAACAGGAUUAGAUACCCUGGUAGUCCACGCCGUAAACGAUGAGUGCUAGACGUUGGGGAGCCUAGCUCUUCGGUGUCGCAGCUAACGCAUUAAGCACUCCGCCUGGGGAGUACGGCCGCAAGGUUAAA